RNAcentral lists this microRNA precursor (208 nucleotides) under Oryza brachyantha (malo sina). RNAcentral describes it as "MIR812 microRNA precursor family". It matches the Rfam family "MIR812 microRNA precursor family". The record is from Rfam by way of RNAcentral. Lineage: Eukaryota; Viridiplantae; Streptophyta; Magnoliopsida; Poales; Poaceae.
AAUAAGUUCAUUUUUUAGUUUUUAGAUACAAUGUUUGACUCUUCGUCUUAUUUAAAAAAAAUUUUAUGAUUAAUAUUUUUAUUAUUACUAAAUGAUAAAACAUGAAUAGUCUUUACACGGGACUAACUAUUUUUAAGUUUUUCUACAAAUUUUUCAAAUAAGACGGAUGAUCAAACGUUAGACACAAAAAUUGAAAAAUGAAGUUUUU